Molecule: ribosomal RNA, 541 nt
Filed under: uncultured bacterium
Lineage: Bacteria
Description: bacterial SSU rRNA
Rfam family: Bacterial small subunit ribosomal RNA
Source: RNAcentral
GGCGGCGCGCUUAACACAUGCAAGUCGAGCGAGAACCAGAGCCUUCGGGCCCUGGGGACAGCGGCGAACGGGUGAGUAACACGUGAGUAAUCCACCCUUGGUACCGGGAUAGCCCGGGGAAACUCGGAUUAAUACCGGAUGGCCCAUCAGCUUCUUGGAGCGGAUGGAAAAGGUAGCUUCGGCCUCCGACCAAGGACGAGCUCGCGGCGGAUUAGCUUGUUGGCGGGGUAACGGCCCACCAAGGCGACGAUCCGUAGCUGGUCUGAGAGGACGAUCAGCCACACUGGGACUGAGACACGGCCCAGACUCCUACGGGAGGCAGCAGUGGGGAAUCUUGCGCAAUGGGCGAAAGCCUGACGCAGCGACGCCGCGUGAGGGAAGAAGGCCUUCGGGUUGUAAACCUCUUUCAGAAGGGACGAAGCCACUCGGGUUAAUAGCCCAGANGGUGACGGUACCUUCAGAAGAAGCCCCGGCUAACUACGUGCCAGCAGCCGCGGUAAUACNUAGGGGGCAAGCGUUGUCCGGAUUUAUUGGGCGUAAA